Molecule: ribosomal RNA, 117 nt
Filed under: Vulpes vulpes (red fox)
Lineage: Eukaryota; Metazoa; Chordata; Mammalia; Carnivora; Canidae
Source: RNAcentral
GUCUAUGGCCAUACCACCCUGAACGCACCUGAUCUCAUCUGAUCUCGGAAGCUAAGUAGGGUCGGGCCUGGUUAGUACUUGGAUGGGAGACCGAAUGGAAGACAUUAUCUCAAGUCU